GGGGCUUCCUGGCUGCUGCGGCCAGGACAGCAUCUCCUCUGGUUGGAAAGGCUCCCAGGAAGCCCGGGCUGCAGAGAAAUGGCAGCCCUGCAGCUGUUCUCAGCCCCUCCCUGGCCGGCACGGAUUUCCCCGCCUGGUGCCCAGCCAAGCCUAGCCUGCCCUCUCUGUUUCAGUCCUGGCCUUGACCCAGACUCUGAGCUCCCAAGUCCUGAUGCCUCCAGUCCUUCUGCCAAGGAUGUCAGUGGUGCUCAGGCCCACCAUAACCCCCCAGGAAGUUCAGAAUGGAGCAGCAGAUGCCACUGCUAAAGGUGAGUGCAAGCACCUUCAAUAUGAAUGCGGCAGUCCUGCCCUGGCCUGCCCCAGCCGCAGCCCUGCAGGCCACAGGCUCCCUCCCUGUCCCUCAGGCCCCACUUUGCUGAGGGGGUCCCUGCAGCUCUGACUCCAGCUGAGAUCAGGCCUGAGGGACCCUCUUGAGCAUCUUCCAGGAUCUGGACCAAAUAAGGAGGCUCCCCGUCUGUGCCCCCAAAUCACUCCUUAUUUGGAGGUUACACCAGGGCACCUGGAGAGUGGGGGAGCACUGGGCACUCUAGUUUGGGCUUCAGGCCUGUGUACACCCCUCCAUCUCCCCCGCAGCUUCCCUCCAAAAGCCUCCUUUGCUGACCCCCACCCGCCCUGCCCAGCUCUGUAACCUGCUUCUUCUGUAAUAGCAGGAAAGAGACCGCCUCUUCCCUCUGCAGCCCCCUCCGGAAGCGCCUCAGCUGCCGAGGUGAGGAGGGGCUGGGCACGGGCUGGGCAGGAGGCCUGAGGGGACCAUAGCCUGAGCAUCUUCACCUGGCCCCCUCUGCUUUCCUUGUAUUCUCUCACCACCCUCCCCAACACACAUUUGCCUUCAGACACCCACUCCUGUUGCAGGUCCAGCUGACCACACUGUGCCUACAUGGGAGGUGACCACCCGAGAGCAAAGGCUGGGUGGGGCUUCCUGGC
This 984-nucleotide long non-coding RNA is filed under the name Microcebus murinus (gray mouse lemur). RNAcentral describes it as "lncRNA (ENSMICG00000048847.1)". Lineage: Eukaryota; Metazoa; Chordata; Mammalia; Primates; Cheirogaleidae. The record is from RNAcentral.